This 253-nucleotide ribosomal RNA is filed under the name uncultured bacterium. RNAcentral's name for it is "partial 16S ribosomal RNA". It matches the Rfam family "Bacterial small subunit ribosomal RNA", at positions 524 to 776 of the family's 1533-position model. The record is from RNAcentral.
UACAGAGGGUGCAAGCGUUAAUCGGAUUUACUGGGCGUAAAGCGUGUGUAGGUGGCUUCCUAAGUCGGUUGUGAAAUCCCUGGGCUCAACCUGGGAAUUGCAGUCGAUACUGGGAAGCUCGAGUUCGGUAGAGGGCGGCGGAAUUCCCGGUGUAGCGGUGAAAUUCGUAGAUAUCGAGAAGAACACCGGUGGCGAAGGCCGCCAUCUGGACAGAUACUGACGCUGAGACGCGAAAGCGUGGGGAGCAAACAGG